GACGAACGCUGGCGGCGUGCUUAACACAUGCAAGUCGAACGGAAAGGCCCUGCCUUUGUGGGGUGCUCGAGUGGCGAACGGGUAAGUAACACGUGAGUAACCUGCCCUUGACUUUGGGAUAACUUCAGGAAACUGGGGCUAAUACCGGAUAGGAGCUCCUGCUGCAUGGUGGGGGUUGGAAAGUUUCGGCGGUUGGGGAUGGACUCGCGGCUUAUCAGCUUGUUGGUGGGGUAGUGGCUUACCAAGGCUUUGACGGGUAGCCGGCCUGAGAGGGUGACCGGCCACAUUGGGACUGAGAUACGGCCCAGACUCCUACGGGAGGCAGCAGUGGGGAAUAUUGCACAAUGGGCGGAAGCCUGAUGCAGCAACGCCGCGUGCGGGAUGACGGCCUUCGGGUUGUAAACCGCUUUCGCCUGUGACGAAGCGUGAGUGACGGUAAUGGGUAAAGAAGCACCGGCUAACUACGU
This 467-nucleotide ribosomal RNA is filed under the name uncultured bacterium. RNAcentral describes it as "partial 16S ribosomal RNA". It matches the Rfam family "Bacterial small subunit ribosomal RNA", at positions 28 to 506 of the family's 1533-position model. The record is from RNAcentral.